Molecule: ribosomal RNA, 600 nt
Filed under: uncultured bacterium
Lineage: Bacteria
Description: bacterial SSU rRNA
Rfam family: Bacterial small subunit ribosomal RNA
Source: RNAcentral
GGAAGUACGUUCGCAAGAAUGAAACUCAAAGGAAUUGGCGGGGGUCCGCACAAGCGGUGGAGUAUGUGGUUUAAUUCGAUGAUACGCGAGGAACCUUACCUGGGCUAGAAUGCUGGGAGACCGCUAGUGAAAGCUAGUUUUGUAGCAAUACACUGCCAGUAAGGUGCUGCAUGGCCGUCGUCAGCUCGUGCCGUGAGGUGUUGGGUUAAGUCCCGCAACGAGCGCAACCCCUAUCUUUAGUUGCCAACAGGUAAUGCUGGGAACUCUAAAGAAACUGCCGCCGUAAGGUGUGAGGAAGGAGGGGAUGAUGUCAGGUCAUCAUGGCCUUUAUGCCCAGGGCUACACACGUACUACAAUGGGGGAGACAAAGGGCUGCAACAUAGCGAUAUGAAGCCAAUCCCAAAAACUCCCUCUCAGUUCAGAUUGCAGGCUGCAACUCGCCUGCAUGAAGCUGGAAUCGCUAGUAAUCGUAUAUCAGCAAUGAUACGGUGAAUACGUUCCCGGACCUCGCACACACCGCCCGUCAAGCCAUGGGAGUCGGGUGUACCUAAAGUCGGUAACCGAAAGGAGCUGCCUAGGGUAAAAUCGAUGACUGGGGCU